GUACGCUGGCGGCACGCCUUAUACAUGCAAGUCGAACGAAGUAGCAAUACUUAGUGGCAGACGGGUGAGUAACAUGUAGGUAUCUUCCCUUUGGUGAGGAAUAACACGAGGAAACUUGUGCUAAUACCUCAUAAGUCUUUACGGAGAAAGCUUUAUGCGCCGAAGGAUGAGCCUGCACUUGAUUAGUUUGUUGGUGGGGUAAUGGCCUACCAAGACUUUGAUCUAUAGCUGAUCUGAGAGGAUGAUCAGCCACAUUGGGACUGAGACACGGCCCAAACUCCUACGGGAGGCAGCAGUAGGGAAUAUUGCACAAUGGAGGAAACUCUGAUGCAGCGAUGCCGCGUGAGUGAAGAAGGCCUUUGGGUUGUAAAGCUCUUUCGUCGGGGAAGAAAAUGACUGUACCCGAAUAAGAAGGUCCGGCUAACU
RNAcentral lists this ribosomal RNA (426 nucleotides) under uncultured bacterium. Its description in RNAcentral is "bacterial SSU rRNA". It matches the Rfam family "Bacterial small subunit ribosomal RNA", at positions 31 to 502 of the family's 1533-position model. The record is from RNAcentral.